UACGGGGGGUGCAAGCGUUGUUCGGAAUCAUUGGGCGUAAAGAGCGUGUAGGCGGCUUGGUAAGUCAGAUGUGAAAGCCCUGGGCUCAACUCAGGAAGCGCAUUUGAAACUGCCAGGCUCGAGUAGGGGAGAGGGAAGUGGAAUUCCUGGUGUAGAGGUGAAAUUCGUAGAUAUCAGGAGGAACACCGGUGGCGAAGGCGACUUCCUGGCCCUAUACUGACGCUGAGACGCGAGAGCGUGGGUAGCAAACAGG
Molecule: ribosomal RNA, 253 nt
Filed under: uncultured bacterium
Lineage: Bacteria
Description: partial 16S ribosomal RNA
Rfam family: Bacterial small subunit ribosomal RNA
Source: RNAcentral